UCUACAGAAUAAAACCAAGCUGAAGAUCCUGGUGGAAACUUCUCUUGAUUAAUGUUUCACUGUUUAAUUCACACGAGUGAUGAUUGUGUUUGUGGAAACUUUAAUAAAGCUCAAACUGUUCUUUGGAGGGUUGAAGAAGAGUCUUCAGUUCAUGGUCAUGUUAACGUGUUUCUUAAGAAGUUACAUCACAGGUGAUUUAAAUAGUGAAACCCGGUCAUGUGACGAGGACUCACUGGCUCCGUGUGUUUGCAUACGUGUCCUUCCUCUCUGCUCACACGCCUUAAGAGAGCUGAUCAGUGGCGGUCCAGGCCUCACGCACACUGGCACGCCGGCAGCACAAUGAUGAUGUCACUGAGUCUACUGCUGACCAGCCUGGGGCUCUUUGUUCAGGGUUCAUCAGGAGAAAUCCAGCUGACUCAGUCUCCUGGAUCUCAGUCUGUUCUUCCAGGACAGACUGUCUCCAUCAGGUGUAAAGCCAGUUCUGCCAUUAGUACCUACCUUCACUGGUACCUACAGAAACCAGAAGAAUCUCCCAAACUUUUGAUUAAUUACGCUUCAAGUCGUCAGUCAGGGAUCUCAGAUCGUUUCAGUGGAAGUGGAUCUGGAAGUGACUUCACUCUGACCAUCAGAGGAGUUCUGACUGAAGAUGCAGGAGAUUAUUAUUGUCAGCAGAGUAACAGCUCCCCGUUCACACAGUGAAACAACGUCGUACAAAAAC
This is a non-coding RNA of Gasterosteus aculeatus aculeatus (three-spined stickleback), 718 nucleotides long. Lineage: Eukaryota; Metazoa; Chordata; Actinopteri; Perciformes; Gasterosteidae. The record is from the annotation of a RefSeq genome assembly.